GAUGAACGCUGGCGGCGUGCCUAAUACAUGCAAGUCGAGCGAACAGACGAGGAGCUUGCUCCUCUGACGUUAGCGGCGGACGGGUGAGUAACACGUGGAUAACCUACCUAUAAGACUGGGAUAACUUCGGGAAACCGGAGCUAAUACCGGAUAAUAUAUUGAACAGCAUGGUUCAAUAGUUAAAGACGGUUUUGCUGUCACUUAUAGAUGGAUCCGCGCCGCAUUAGCUAGUUGGUAAGGUAACGGCUUACCAAGGCGACGAUGCGUAGCCGACCUGAGAGGGUGAUCGGCCACACUGGAACUGAGACACGGUCCAGACUCCUACGGGAGGCAGCAGUAGGGAAUCUUCCGCAAUGGGCGAAAGCCUGACGGAGCAACGCCGCGUGAGUGAUGAAGGUCUUCGGAUCGUAAAACUCUGUUAUUAGGGAAGAACAAAUGUGUAAGUAACUAUGCACGUCUUGACGGUACCUAAUCAGAAAGCCACGGCUAACUACGUG
RNAcentral lists this ribosomal RNA (497 nucleotides) under uncultured bacterium. RNAcentral describes it as "partial 16S ribosomal RNA". It matches the Rfam family "Bacterial small subunit ribosomal RNA", at positions 28 to 507 of the family's 1533-position model. The record is from RNAcentral.